UGCAAGUUCCACACCUAUGAUUAAUCGUAAAGGUGCGAUGGUCCAGUGUUUAUGUUUUGACAGCAAACAGUGUGAAUAUGCGUAUAUUGGACAAGGGGUGAAGCAGCUUGGGAAAAAUGUGAGGAAUGAGGAACUCCGAGAAAAACUCACGGAGGGAAAAAAAUGUUAGUUCUACUCAAUACGUGCUUGAAUGGGGGAAGCCAACGAAGGAGUCAAGUGAUGAGGUUUACGUGAUCUGAAAACCAGGAGUGCUGCGGAAUUGGGAACUGAUGGAAGGUCAACUCACGUGUUUAUGACUGGACACUCCUACACCGUGUAGUCACUGUAGUGGGAUGUGCAGAGGUGUGGUGAUGGAGCGCUUUCGAAAUAAACGCACCCACUGGCUGCAGAAGAGUAUAGAAAAAAAACAAAAAAUGACUAGACCUAUUUGCCAGCUCGACCUCUAUGAACAUGAACAUAAACAGGACUCGAAUAGUUGUUAUCAAACACUUUUCUAUGCCCCGCACUUCUAGAAAAUGUUUAAUUACAAAAAGUAACAUCACAUUUGAAGAUUACUUGGUCUAUUUUCAAAUUUUGAACUACAUAGGCUUUGGGCAGCAGUGACGUGGCGCCUUUGUUCCCACAGUUGAGGGUCGCAAACACUUUCCCUAAGAUUGUCUACAAGGCAGUGGGACUAUUUCCCCUUGGCUAGGGUGGUGGUUUGGGUGAGAACAUUCUGUCUUUUGCUCCCUACACCAAGUGGCGAACACAAGUGUUACACCUUGGUGGAAAAUUGCGGGAGGGGAAGCGACAAGACUACCUCAUGGGUUUUCAAACUUCAGGUGAUGCGAGUCGAAUGGUUCUGCACAAACUCUAGGAGUCUGAGGUCGAUAUCGUUGGUUUCACGAAGGCCCAGUAUGGAGCACACACUUGGACAAUGGUGACAUUUUGAGGGUAGCAGAGUGUAUGGCCUUUGUUAAUUGUAUCUGGGGAUUUAUAAACAAUUUCUGGAUAGGAGACAUUGUUUAUCACAAGUUAAGGGCCGAGUGCCCACCCUGUACAGCUAAUAUGGUACGUUACCUUGCUGCGAGCACUGACACUCGACACCCCUGAAGUAGUAGAUGCAAUGGAGUGGUCACUACCAACAUCACUGUCAUCAUGUACCUCCUCAGCCUCCUGACCUCCCUGACACCAGCAGCAGAGUAUAACUUGUGAGGAAAGAGUAAUAAAAAGGGAAAGCUAUGGACCUGGAAGGAACUUCUUGACCCAGUGUGACAGGUUUUGUCAUCAGUGGCUGUGCCAAGCUCCCCAUUCCCUGCCUCAUCAAACACUGGUGUCAAAU
This is a long non-coding RNA of Pomacea canaliculata, 1321 nucleotides long. RefSeq lists it as uncharacterized. The record is from RefSeq and is a predicted model, not a curated record. The transcript is spliced from 3 exons. NCBI's taxonomy places the organism in Eukaryota, Metazoa, Mollusca, Gastropoda, Architaenioglossa, Ampullariidae.